RNAcentral lists this ribosomal RNA (459 nucleotides) under uncultured bacterium. Its description in RNAcentral is "partial 16S ribosomal RNA". It matches the Rfam family "Bacterial small subunit ribosomal RNA", at positions 338 to 795 of the family's 1533-position model. The record is from RNAcentral.
CCUACGGGAGGCAGCAGUGAGGAAUAUUGGUCAAUGGGCGGAAGCCUGAACCAGCCAAGUAGCGUGCAGGAUGACGGCCCUACGGGUCGUAAACCGCUUUUGCACGGGGAUAACACCCUCCACUUGUGGAGGUCUGCAGGUACCGUGCGAAUAAGGGCCGGCUAAUUCCGUGCCAGCAGCCGCGGUAAUACGGAGGUCCCGAGCGUUAUCCGGAUUCAUUGGGCUUAAAGGGAGCGUAGGCGGGCGUUCAAGUCAGCUGUAAAAGCGCGCGGCUCAACCGCGCCCCGCAGUUGAAACUGGACGCCUUGAGUUCACAACAGGCAGGCGGAAUUCGUGGUGUAGCGGUGAAAUGCAUAGAUAUCACGAGGAACCCCGAUUGCGAAGGCAGCCUGCCGGGGUGCGACUGACGCUGAGGCUCGAAGGUGCGGGUAUCAAACAGGAUUAGAUACCCUUGUAGUC